GCCAGCAUUAUGUAGUGGUUUGAACAUUAGACUUUAACUCUGGAGACCAGGGUUCGAAUCCCCACUCAGCCA
Molecule: non-coding RNA, 72 nt
Organism: Phrynosoma platyrhinos (Desert horned lizard)
Lineage: Eukaryota; Metazoa; Chordata; Lepidosauria; Squamata; Phrynosomatidae
Source: the annotation of a GenBank genome assembly